Molecule: ribosomal RNA, 460 nt
Filed under: uncultured bacterium
Lineage: Bacteria
Description: partial 16S ribosomal RNA
Rfam family: Bacterial small subunit ribosomal RNA
Source: RNAcentral
CCUACGGGGGGCAGCAGUGAGGAAUAUUGGUCAAUGGACGCAAGUCUGAACCAGCCAUGCCGCGUGCAGGAAGACGGCUCUAUGAGUUGUAAACUGCUUUUGUACGAGGGUAAACGCAGAUACGCGUAUCUGUCUGAAAGUAUCGUACGAAUAAGGAUAGGCUAACUCCGUGCCAGCAGCCGCGGUAAUACGGAGGAUUCAAGCGUUAUCCGGAUUUAUUGGGUUUAAAGGGUGCGUAGGCGGUCGGGUAAGUUCGAGGUGAAAUCCCGAGGCUCAACUUCGGAAUUGCCUCUGAUACUGUUCGGCGAGAGAGUAGUUGCGGUAGGCGGAAUGUAUGGUGUAGCGGUGAAAUGCUUAGAGAUCAUACAGAACACCGAUUGCGAAGGCAGCUUACCAAGCUACUUCUGACGUUGAGGCACGAAAGCGUGGGGAGCAAACAGGAUUAGAUACCCCUGUAGUC